Molecule: non-coding RNA, 333 nt
Organism: Delphinapterus leucas (beluga whale)
Lineage: Eukaryota; Metazoa; Chordata; Mammalia; Artiodactyla; Monodontidae
Source: RefSeq, a predicted model, not a curated record
UUUUAGGUACAAAGGGCCACAAUGAAGUUUUUAAAGUAAGUGCCAAGAUGAGCAGACUGGAGCACUGAGAGGUCAAGAAACAUGCUCGUGCUGUGCGGCCAAUGGAAGAGACUUGCAUCUGUUUGUCUGCUAAGAGCAAAGAACCAGUGGUGGUGAAAAUGUUGGAUAGAUGGGACAGAGGAAGGCUGUUUGAUGUCCGUCUUGGAGAAGCAAGAGGACCCGGGAUGCCAGUGGAAGGAGAAACCCCUUCCACUGAGGUGGGAGAUCAGAAGGUAAAGAGGAAAGAGGAUGCAGGUAAGUCCGUGCUGGCAUAGUGGAUGGGGUAGCAGUGCU